RNAcentral lists this transfer RNA (29 nucleotides) under Mystacina tuberculata (New Zealand lesser short-tailed bat). RNAcentral's name for it is "partial tRNA-Pro". Lineage: Eukaryota; Metazoa; Chordata; Mammalia; Chiroptera; Mystacinidae. The record is from RNAcentral.
GCUGAAAUUCUAAUUAAACUACUCCUUGA